RNAcentral lists this ribosomal RNA (2752 nucleotides) under Cryptocercus punctulatus (brown-hooded cockroach). RNAcentral describes it as "partial large subunit ribosomal RNA". It matches the Rfam family "Eukaryotic large subunit ribosomal RNA", at positions 1191 to 3386 of the family's 3401-position model. Lineage: Eukaryota; Metazoa; Arthropoda; Insecta; Blattodea; Cryptocercidae. The record is from RNAcentral.
AAACCGGAGCUCAUGGGAGCCGAUGAAAGGCGUUGGGUGCUUAAGACAGCAGGACGGCGGCCAUGGAAGUCGGAAGGCGCUAAGGAGUGGUUGUAACAACUCAUCCUUCACCGAAGAACCUAGCCCUGAAUUAUGGAUGGGCUAUAAGCUCCGUGCCCUAUACCCGGCCGCCGGCAGGGCAGGUCGCCUCUUAUCGGAGCCAGACGAAGCCCCGCCGUGAGUAGAGGGCGCGCGUGAGCGCGGCGAAGGGAUCUGGGCGCGAGCCUGCCCUGGAGCGCCGCCGGCUGCAGAUCUUGGUGGUAGUAGCAAAACUCAAGCGAGGCCUGAGGCUGAUGCGGAGGAAGGUUUCGUGUGACAAGCCGUUGCACACAGUCAGUCGAUCCUAAGCCCUAGGAUUGAAAUCGAUGCCAUGUGGCGGCUGGGCCUUGAUCGCGCCGCCCGCCGUUCAGGGCGAAAGGGGAAUCCGGUUUCCUAUUCCGGAACCCGGCAGCGGAACCGAAACGUCGGGCCCUCUUCACCGAGAAGAGCUUCGUCGCCAGGGUAACCCAAAAUACCCGGAGGACCCGUCGGGAGACCGGCAGAGUUUGCUUCUGCAUAAGCUUCGAGUUCCCUGAAAUCCUCUAAGGAAGAUAGGCGUUUUGGAACGCGAAGAGCCCGCAGUUGCGGCGAGUGUCCGUGGUCGUCCCCUCGGACCUUGAAAAUCCGGGAGAGGGCUACGCGGCGGAGUCGCGCCGGCUCUAACCAUUAUCCGCAGCAGUCUCCAAGGUGAAGAGGCCUCUAGUGGAUAGACUAAUGUAGGUAAGGGAAGGCGGCAAAAUUGAUCGUACUUCGGGAUAAGAUUGGCUCUGAGGUACCGUGGGCGCGAUCGGGCGGUCGGGAAGCGGUCUUUGCGCCAACGUGCCGCCGGGCGAGGCGAUGCGGUGUCGACCGGCGGUCUGCCGGGUGCGGCGCGGGUCUCCGCGGAGGCUGGGGCCCCUCGCGGUUCGGUCGCGGAAGGACUCGCGCCCUUCCCCGCCGGGCCCGGGCGGUACCCCCCUGUCCCGGCGGGCCCCGCGUUCUCACCCGCUUCCGCCGCGCUCGCCACGCGAUCGAAGCUCGGUUCCCCGUGCGCUUGGCUCCCGCCGGAAUCUUCCACGUUCGAGGGACGCUUGCGGCCGGGGGACUAACCUCCCUCGCCCCCCAUCGGCUCACUCUUCGCCGCCAUCUCAACGGUUCGACUCAGAAACUGGCACGGGACUUUGGGAAUCCGACGGUUUUUUCAAAUAAACCCCAAAGGGGCCAUUGGCGAGGCCCUAGCGGGUGCGUUGACCGGGCAAUUGAUUUCUGCCCAAGUGCUCUGGAAUGUCAACGUGAUAGGAAGAAAUUCAAGCAAGCGCGGUUAAACGGCGGGGAAUAACUAUGACUCUCUUAAGGUAGCAAAAUGCCUCGUCAUCUAAUUAGUGACGCUCAUGAAUGGAUUAACGAGAUUCCCACGUCCCUAUCUACUAUCUAGCGAAAACACUGCAAGGAACGGCUUUGGAGGAAUCAGCGGGAAAGAAGACCUAGUAGCUGACUCUAGCCUGGCACUGUAAGGAGACAUGAGAGGUGUAGCAUAAGGGAGGCCGGGAAGGGCUAGUUCCCCCCGGCCGGAAGUGAAAUACCACUACUUCAUGUUUCUUUACUUACCGGGUUGGGCGGAGCGCGUGCGCCGGCAUGCCACUCGUCGGCCCGCGUCACGGUGUUCUCGCGGCCAAGCGCCGGGGCUGCGGCCUCAGGAGUCGGUGCGGGCGGGGGGGGCCCGGGCUGCGGCGACGGGUCGCACGGCCGAUCGGCCGCGCCGCUUCCGGAAGCCCGCCCGCGGUCUCUCUUCUCCCCCCCGAGGACUAGCCGCGCUCGUGCCCGCUAUCCGAUCCGAAGGACACGCCAGCGGGGGAUUUACUGGCGGUACAUCUUCAAAAGGAAAUAACGCAGGUGUCCUAGGCCAGCUCAGCGAGACAGAAACCCUCGCGUAGAGGCAAAAGGGCAAAAGCUGGCUUGAUCCCGGAUGUCAGUACGCAUAGGACUGCGAAAGCAAGGCCUAUCGAUCCUUUUGGCUUGGAGAGUUUCCAGCAAGAGGUGUCAGAAAAGUUACCACAGGGAUUAACUGGCUUGUGGAGGGCAACGCGUUCAAGCGGACGUCGCUAUUUUUGCAUCCUUCGAUGUCGGCCUCUUCCAUCAUUGCGAAGCAGAAUUCGCCAAGCGUUGGAUUGUUCACCCACCAAUAGGAAACGUGAGCAGGGUUUAGACCGUCGUGAGACAGGUUAGUUUUACCCUACUGAUGAAACGGUCGGUGCGACAGUAAUCCUGCUUCAUACGAGAGGAAACCGCAUCGGACAUUUGGUCCACGCACUUCGGUCGAGGGGCCGUGGUGCGAAGCUACCAGUCCGUGGGAAAUUAUGCCUGAACGCCUCUAAGGCCGUAUCCCGUCUGGAUAUGCAACGAUGACUCAAGGGAUUCCCGAGGGUCGAGAGGCUCUAAAGAAUGUGAUCGCUUCCAUAGGUGGGACGUGCUGCGUCCCACCCGAAGAUAGCCCCCGGUUGCCGGAUGGGGCGACCCGGAGCGGCGGCAGGACUGUGACCUGGCUAAUCGCCGCCCCGCCCCUAACGGCCGAUCAUGGGUUAUAGCAGUUCGAAGUCAUAGGGACUUCAGAAUCGUCUCAGACGACUUAGGGUACCGGCGGGGUGUUGUACUCGGUAGAGCAGUGCCACGCUCGAUCUGUUGAAACUCAUCCCUU